Molecule: non-coding RNA, 19 nt
Filed under: Arabidopsis thaliana (thale cress)
Lineage: Eukaryota; Viridiplantae; Streptophyta; Magnoliopsida; Brassicales; Brassicaceae
Source: RNAcentral
GUCAGAUGACUAUUACGUG